Molecule: ribosomal RNA, 253 nt
Filed under: uncultured bacterium
Lineage: Bacteria
Description: partial 16S ribosomal RNA
Rfam family: Bacterial small subunit ribosomal RNA
Source: RNAcentral
UACUUAGGGUGCAAGCGUUGUCCGGAAUUAUUGGGCGUAAAGAGCUCGUAGGCGGUUUGUUGCGUCGGCUGUGAAAUCCCGAGGCUCAACCUCGGGUCUGCAGUCGAUACGAGCAAACUAGAGUGUUGCAGGGGAGACUGGAAUUCCUGGUGUAGCGGUGAAAUGCGCAGAUAUCAGGAGGAACACCGGUGGCGAAGGCGGGUCUCUGGGCCGAUACUGACGCUGAGGAGCGAAAGCGUGGGGAGCGAACAGG